Long non-coding RNA from Poecile atricapillus (Black-capped chickadee), 304 nucleotides. RefSeq lists it as uncharacterized. The record is from RefSeq and is a predicted model, not a curated record. Lineage: Eukaryota; Metazoa; Chordata; Aves; Passeriformes; Paridae. The transcript is spliced from 3 exons.
GGGUAACUGUCCUCAGUGAACUGCUUGCUUCCAUUGGUAAAGCCAUCUGUUCUUGCCUGAAAGAAAAUAGCAGCCAGAAAUUCAGACCCUGAAGCUGCAAUAUGGCUCUGUGCAACUCCCUGUGUUUGCUGCAUGCUGGCACCACCUGCACACAGAACUUCUGACCCCUGCAGAAGGAUGAAGAGCAAAGAGACAAGAGAACCAGAAGAAAAGCAGUCUACAGAAGAGGCUGGAGCUUCCACAGUCCACAAGUCUUGCAAUUUUGCCUCAGCACCAAUAUUCUUAUUCUGUGGGUUGAAGAAAC